This 873-nucleotide ribosomal RNA is filed under the name Cutibacterium granulosum. RNAcentral's name for it is "bacterial SSU rRNA". It matches the Rfam family "Bacterial small subunit ribosomal RNA", at positions 39 to 920 of the family's 1533-position model. The record is from RNAcentral. Lineage: Bacteria; Bacillati; Actinomycetota; Actinomycetes; Propionibacteriales; Propionibacteriaceae.
GNUGCGCGGCUUACCAUGCAAGUCGUACGGUAAGGCCCNUUCNGGGGUACACGAGUGACUGACGGAUGAGUGACACAUGAGUGACCUGCCCGCAACUUUGCUGAUAACACUCGGAAACUGGACGCUAAUACUGUAAUAUGUGCUCCUGCUGCAUGGUGGGGGUUGGAAAGCUCCGGCGGUUGUGGAUGGACUCACGGCCUAUCAUACUUGUUGGUGGGGUAGUGGCCUACCAAGGCGGCGACGGGUAGCCGGCCUGAGAGGGUGACCGGCCACAUUGGGACUGAGAUACGGNACCAGACUCCUACGGGAGGCAGCAGUGGGGAAUAUUGCACAAUGGGCGCAAGCCUGAUGCAGCAACGCCGCGUGCGGGAUGACGGCCUUCGGGUUGUAAACCGCUUUCAUCACGGACGAAGCUUUGUGUGACGGUACCUGCAGAAGAAGCACCGGCUAACUACGUGCCAGCAGCCGCGGUGAUACAUACGGUGCGAGCGUUGUCCGGAUUUAUUGGGCGUAAAGGGCUCGUAGGCGGUUGAUCGCGUCGGAAGUGAAAACUUGAUGCUUAACGUUGAGCGUGCUUUCGAUACGGGUUGACUUGAGGAAGGAAGGGGAGAAUGAAAUUCCUGGUGGAUCGAUGGAAUGCGCACAUAUCAGGAGGAACACCCGUGGCUAACGCAGGUCUCUGGACCGUUCCUGACGCUGAGGAGCGAAAGCAUGGGGAGCGAACAAGCUUACAUACACUAGCUAGUCCACGCUGAAAAAGAACGGUGCUAGGUAUGGGGUGCAUUCCUUGGAUCCAGUGCGGCACCUAACGCACUAAGUACCCCGCCCGCGGGGUACGGUCGGAAGGCUAGUAUAAAAAGAAGUGACUGGGUC